UACGUAGGGGGCGAGCGUUGUCCGGAAUCAUUGGGCGUAAAGAGCGUGUAGGCGGGCCGGAAGGUCUGGUGUGAAAGCCCGGGGCUCAACCCCGGAGGGUCACUGGAAACCAACGGUCUUGAAUCUGGAAGAGGAGAGUGGAAUUCCUGGUGUAGCGGUGGAAUGCGCAGAUAUCAGGAGGAACACCAAUGGCGAAGGCAGCUCUCUGGUACAUGAUUGACGCUGAGACGCGAAAGCGUGGGGAGCGAACAGG
This 253-nucleotide ribosomal RNA is filed under the name uncultured bacterium. RNAcentral describes it as "partial 16S ribosomal RNA". It matches the Rfam family "Bacterial small subunit ribosomal RNA", at positions 524 to 776 of the family's 1533-position model. The record is from RNAcentral.